This 156-nucleotide antisense RNA is filed under the name Buttiauxella agrestis ATCC 33320. Its description in RNAcentral is "sok antitoxin (CssrC)". It matches the Rfam family "sok antitoxin (CssrC)". Rfam says of the family: Also identified in Shigella as CssrC. Lineage: Bacteria; Pseudomonadati; Pseudomonadota; Gammaproteobacteria; Enterobacterales; Enterobacteriaceae. The record is from Rfam by way of RNAcentral.
UGGCGCUUGAGGCUUUUUGCCUCACCGUCGGCUUGUUGUGAGGCAGAAAGAAGAAAGCCCCGAAGGUAAUUUUUCAAUUAACCACGAGGCGAUCCAAUGCUAGACACAUUCAGAUUAGCCUCUUACCACGCUUUGUGCAAGGAGAAGAAGGCUAUG